GACGAACGCUGGCGGCGUGCCUAAUACAUGCAAGUAGAACGCUGAAGGAGGAGCUUGCUCUUCUGGAUGAGUUGCGAACGGGUGAGUAACGCGUAGGUAACCUGCCUGGUAGCGGGGGAUAACUAUUGGAAACGAUAGCUAAUACCGCAUAACAGUAGAUGUUGCAUGACAUUUACUUAAAAGGUGCAAUUGCAUCACUACCAGAUGGACCUGCGUUGUAUUAGCUAGUUGGUGGGGUAACGGCUCACCAAGGCGACGCUACAUAGCCGACCUGAGAGGGUGAUCGGCCAAACUGGGACUGAGACACGGCCCAGACUCCUACGGGAGGCAGCAGUAGGGAAUCUUCGGCAAUGGACGGAAGUCUGACCGAGCAACGCCGCGUGAGUGAAGAAGGUUUUCGGAUCGUAAAGCUCUGUUGUAAGAGAAGAACGAGUGUGAGAGUGGAAAGUUCACACUGUGACGGUAUCUUACCAGAAAGGGACGGCUAACUACGUG
Molecule: ribosomal RNA, 495 nt
Filed under: uncultured bacterium
Lineage: Bacteria
Description: partial 16S ribosomal RNA
Rfam family: Bacterial small subunit ribosomal RNA
Source: RNAcentral